Molecule: transfer RNA, 59 nt
Filed under: Haementeria acuecueyetzin
Lineage: Eukaryota; Metazoa; Annelida; Clitellata; Rhynchobdellida; Glossiphoniidae
Description: tRNA-Arg
Source: RNAcentral
AAACAAUAGCACAAUGCAUUUCAAUUUCGGCUUGAAAAGAGGUUUCUAACCAUUGUUUA